UCCGCGUUUUGCGCGGCAGUAUCCUAUGACACUUGUAACAUAGGACAGGGGUUGCGUUUGUUACCCCACUUAAGGGAGCGCCUCACGGCACAAACUGACGACAGCCAUGCAGCACCUGUCCAGCCGCCAUAAAGGAAACUCUCCUUUCGGAAAGCGUUCGUCUGGAUGUCAAGCCUUGGUAAGGUUCUUCGCUUAUCGUCGAAUUAAACCGCAUGAUCCACCGCUUGUGCGAGUCCCCGUCUAUUCCUUUGAGUUUUAAUCUUGCGAUCGUACUUCCCAGGCGGGACACUUAACGCGUUUGCUUCGUCACCUGAAGGGUCGACACUUCAGACAACUAGUGUCCAACGUUUACGGCUAGGACUAC
This 364-nucleotide unclassified non-coding RNA is filed under the name uncultured bacterium. RNAcentral's name for it is "contains 16S-23S intergenic spacer region". The record is from RNAcentral.